CCUCUUGGUGUAGUAUAUUAAUAACCCCAAACAUGAUGCACAUCUAGUUCAUUAAAUUGAUACAUCUUGAAACUAAUCCCAGCUCUCUGAAACUGCAGUGUGACAAGUUACAGGGACAAUUUUUGGUCCAAUCCUUACAUAUCUUUCAUUUCAGAUUCAUUGUUUGCUAGGAGAUGGUGCAGCAUUGAGAAUCCAUCUUCAGAUAGACUGAUGGUACGGGAUGACAUCUAGUGAACAGCUCGGUGAUUGAGAUAAUGGAGCAACUUCUACAGAACGAAGUGUACGAGCGCAAUCCAAGGAAUGGGAGACACGGGUACGGCAUGAAGGGCAGUUUAUCGUGAAGAUUAAUAAACGCAGAUAGAUUCCAACUGGAAGCAUCGUCAUCCUUGGUAUCAAGUUCGCAACAAAGAUGGAUAUUAAACGUAAUGAUCUUGAAGCUAGAUUUUUUUAGCUGUAUAUAACAAACUGGAUUGUUACUGUAUGUAAAUAACUUUGCAACUUUGGAAUGGUGAAACAAUUUUUUUCCAUAACCUUUUAAGUACAUUUAUAUUGCCAGUUGGUUAAAUUUAUGCAGCACCUGAUCCGACCUAAGUAAACCUACUGUGGACAUGUAUAUUUUUGAUAGUUGUGUAUAAACUCGAAUAAAAGUUCAUUGGACUUUC
Molecule: long non-coding RNA, 662 nt
Organism: Penaeus indicus
Lineage: Eukaryota; Metazoa; Arthropoda; Malacostraca; Decapoda; Penaeidae
Exons: 4
Source: RefSeq, a predicted model, not a curated record